Molecule: ribosomal RNA, 657 nt
Filed under: uncultured Bacillus sp.
Lineage: Bacteria; Bacillati; Bacillota; Bacilli; Caryophanales; Bacillaceae
Description: bacterial SSU rRNA
Rfam family: Bacterial small subunit ribosomal RNA
Source: RNAcentral
UGAACGCUGGCGGCGUGCCUAAUACAUGCAAGUCGAGCGAAUGGAUUAAGAGCUUGCUCUUAUGAAGUAAUAGCGGCGGACGGGUGAGUAACACGUGGGUAACCUGCCCAUAAGACUGGGAUAACUCCGGGAAACCGGGGCUAAUACCGGAUAAUAUUUUGAACUGCAUGGUUCGAAAUUGAAAGGCGGCUUCGGCUGUCACUUAUGGAUGGACCCGCGUCGCAUUAGCUAGUUGGUGAGGUAACGGCUCACCAAGGCAACGAUGCGUAGCCGACCUGAGAGGGUGAUCGGCCACACUGGGACUGAGACACGGCCCAGACUCCUACGGGAGGCAGCAGUAGGGAAUCUUCCGCAAUGGACGAAAGUCUGACGGAGCAACGCCGCGUGAGUGAUGAAGGCUUUCGGGUCGUAAAACUCUGUUGUUAGGGAAGAACAAGUGCUAGUUGAAUAAGCUGGCAUUGACGGUACCUAACCAGAAAGCCACGGCUCAAACUACGUGCCAGCAGCCGCGGUAAUACGUAGGUGGCAAGCGUUAUCCGGAAUUAUUGGGCGUAAAGCGCGCGCAGGUGGUUUCUUAAGUCUGAUGUGAAAGCCCACGGCUCAACCGUGGAGGGUCAUUGGAAACUGGGAGACUUGAGUGCAGAAGAGGAAAGUGGA